GGCCAGACUCCUACGGGAGGCAGCAGUGGGGAAUAUUGCACAAUGGGGGAAACCCUGAUGCAGCAACGCCGCGUGAGUGAAGAAGUAUUUCGGUAUGUAAAGCUCUAUCAGCAGGGAAGAAGAAAGACGGUACCUGACUAAGAAGCCCCGGCUAACUACGUGCCAGCAGCCGCGGUAAUACGUAGGGGGCAAGCGUUAUCCGGAUUUACUGGGUGUAAAGGGGGCGCAGACGGCGAUGCAAGCCAGGAGUGAAAGCCCGGGGCCCAACCCCGGGACUGCUCUUGGAACUGCGUGGCUGGAGUGCAGGAGGGGCAGGCGGAAUUCCUGGUGUGGCGGUGAAAUGCGUAGAUAUCAGGAGGAACACCGGUGGCGAAGGCGGCCUGCUGGACUGCGACUGACGUUGAGGCCCGAAAGCGUGUGGAGCAAACAGGAUUAGAUACCCUAGUA
RNAcentral lists this ribosomal RNA (447 nucleotides) under uncultured bacterium. RNAcentral's name for it is "partial 16S ribosomal RNA". It matches the Rfam family "Bacterial small subunit ribosomal RNA", at positions 329 to 792 of the family's 1533-position model. The record is from RNAcentral.